Pelobates cultripes (western spadefoot toad) is the source of this 219-nucleotide non-coding RNA. The record is from the annotation of a GenBank genome assembly. Lineage: Eukaryota; Metazoa; Chordata; Amphibia; Anura; Pelobatidae.
GUUCCAAGACCUCAUGUUGCAAAAUAGUUAUUUCACUCCUAAGAAAGGGAAACAAACAGUAAUACCAAAAAUAUAACAGUGAUUGCUGAAGUGACAUAUCUUUUCAUUCCAACAAGAAUUUUGUUGUUGUUUCAAUUUCGCAGAAUCAUCGUUCAUUAAAUCUAUUUAAAAUCCACUCAGAAAAUAACUUAUAAAAGAUAUUUGUAAAAAUAUGGUAAG